Molecule: long non-coding RNA, 1258 nt
Organism: Lepisosteus oculatus (spotted gar)
Lineage: Eukaryota; Metazoa; Chordata; Actinopteri; Semionotiformes; Lepisosteidae
Source: RefSeq, a predicted model, not a curated record
UGCUCACGCAUUUGUGUUCCAGCUCAAAGUACCAAAACAGCAGCAGAGACGGUGUGAUGUUGCCAAUUUUCUCUCUGUUGGUGCAGCCACUUCCCCAUGCAAUUUCCUCAGUGAAGCACCGAAGGACAUCGCCUGUGACCACUGCAGACACUGAGUCAAGGCCAGCGGCUGGGGGCUCGCCGGCCACUGCUGUCCAGCCCCAGGGAAGCAGCAGCAUGGCAGGAAGACUGAACAAGGCACAGCAACAAGAACAGAACGCCCACAUACGAUUCUGAACAGCGGAACUGACCUCUGUGGUUCAGAGCUCUCCUUUUUCCAAGACAUUUGUAAUCUGGGAUAUCAGGUUUUAGAGGGCUGCUUUCCACACCCAGCCCCUGGGUCUGCUCCUGUGCACAGGAGGUCCUGAGCUUUCUAAACUCAAGCAGCAUUUGAAAUUGCAUGAUGCUUCGGGGCUUCAGGGUCCCAUUAUGCAGACUGGGCUGCAACCUUGAGGACAGCUGUUCACACUGUAGUCACUGGUUUACAGGAAGUACACUGCGUAACACAACACAGAAUCAGCAUGAUGAUUACCAACAAGUGACAUCUACAGUACUGCAGCCUUUCGUGAGAAACCAGGCACUGGUGGAGUCAGAGUCUGCCGUCGGAUCAGCCUUGGAGAAUUCCUCAGAAAUUCACUCAUUAACACCUCCAGAGCCUAGAGCCAGAUCACUAAACGUGUCCUGGUGGACUGCAGGCCUGUGGGCGAAACCCUGGAGGAGACCUGUGGACAGUGCAGGGCCCAGCCCAGCUGACGGAGCUGUUACUGCGGAAAUAAAGCAGGACCAGCUCGUUAAUUCCGCAGAGUGCACCUGCCCAGAGGAGUAUUCACAGGCGUCUUUUGUCCAUAUUCAAGGUCUCUUUACAGGUCCAAAAAGCUUUUAAGGGUCUUGCAAACCCACUUCUGCCAAAUCACAUGAAUGGAGCUCAUUACUCCCUCAGAAAGCUACGUUAGUGCCAUGUAUUUUUUUUCUUCGCAAAGCCCCCUUUACUUUCAGACAGAUAUUUUUCUCGACACGCAAGCUAUGUUUUGAAGAGAUGUGGUGUUUAAAUGGGGGUUGGGGUUGGGCCUUCCUUCAGUCUCUGGGCUGUGCUCUCUUCCUGCUCGCUUGCGUCACCCCCUCCUCUGCUGCAGCUGAAGGCACAGGCUGACAAAGCCUCUAAUUUCAGGUUCCACCAUUGUUUGAAGCACAGAUAAAUAUAUAUUCUUCCCUUUGUAAAA